GGAAGGAUCAUUACCGUUGUUGAUGUGCUCGUGCCUGCUCACGACCGUCGAUCUUCGGAUAACUACUGUGCACUGGUUGAGACGAUGCAGGUGGAUCAGCUAAACCUGGCCGCUUGCUAUUGUCGGCUGCUCUAUUCGGGGUAACCUUCCGCACUCGGUGAAGGUUUUAAAUGGGUGUCGGGAGCCACUCGCGUCUUCCCCGGCCCCGUCUAGAGUGGUUUUUUUGUUGUUGUUGUUUACCUUCUACUAAGCGAACAGCAUGUUUGCAGGCCGAACGUGACACAAUGUUAAAGUAAUGUCAAUAGACAACUUUUAACGGUGGAUCUCUUGGCUCGUGGAUCGAUGAAGAACGCAGCAAACUGCGAUACGUAGUGUGAAUUGCAGAAUUCAGUGAAUCAUCGAGUCUUUGAACGCAAAUGGCGCUCUUGGUUCUGCCAGGAGCACGUCUGUCUCAGUGUCGUUUUCAUAUCGAGCACGCUUCGGCGUGGUUGCCAUGAGGUGUCUGGUUUCUUGCCGCGUAACUUGUUACUGGUGAAGAGUCCAGUCCCUUGAAAAUCCGGGAGUGGCUGCUCCGCCCAUUGCUUGCUGCUGGGCUGGCACGGCUGUUGCGUGUGAGUUUGACUCGCGCUCGUCGUGUUUCUCAGUCUAUCAGUACUCCAAAGGCAUGGGUUAUUGAUGUGAGUUGCCGUUUGUUCCCAGUCGUUGUUUCUAAACACGAAUGAAAGACGCCGUAUGCUUCGUGCAGACGAUCGUCAACUUUGACCUGAGAUCAGUCGAGACUACCCGCUGAAUUUAAGCAUAUUAAUAAGCGGAGGAAAAGAAACCAACAGGGAUUCCCC
This 839-nucleotide ribosomal RNA is filed under the name Paraleucilla dalmatica. RNAcentral describes it as "eukaryotic LSU rRNA". The stretch from base 308 to 460 matches the Rfam family "5.8S ribosomal RNA". Lineage: Eukaryota; Metazoa; Porifera; Calcarea; Leucosolenida; Amphoriscidae. The record is from RNAcentral.